Molecule: ribosomal RNA, 253 nt
Filed under: Holdemanella biformis DSM 3989
Lineage: Bacteria; Bacillati; Bacillota; Erysipelotrichia; Erysipelotrichales; Erysipelotrichaceae
Description: partial 16S ribosomal RNA
Rfam family: Bacterial small subunit ribosomal RNA
Source: RNAcentral
UACGUAGGUGGCGAGCGUUAUCCGGAAUGAUUGGGCGUAAAGGGUGUGUAGGUGGCAGAUCAAGUCUGGAGUAAAAGGUAUGGGCUCAACCCGUACUGGCUCUGGAAACUGAUCAGCUAGAGAACAGAAGAGGACGGCGGAACUCCAUGUGUAGCGGUAAAAUGCGUAGAUAUAUGGAAGAACACCGGUGGCGAAGGCGGCCGUCUGGUCUGGAUUCUGACACUGAAGCACGAAAGCGUGGGGAGCAAAUAGG